This 580-nucleotide ribosomal RNA is filed under the name uncultured bacterium. RNAcentral's name for it is "bacterial SSU rRNA". It matches the Rfam family "Bacterial small subunit ribosomal RNA", at positions 47 to 618 of the family's 1533-position model. The record is from RNAcentral.
GUUUACACAUGCAAGUCGAACGGAAACGAAAAUAGCUUGCUAUUUGGCGUCGAGUGGCGAACGGGUGAGUAACGCGUAGGAAUCUACCCAGUAGAGGGGGAUAGCCCGAAGAAAUUCGGAUUAAUACCGCAUAAUCUCUACGGAGUAAAGAAGGCCUCUUUACAAUGCUUUUACUAUUGGAUGAGCCUGCGUUAGAUUAGUUAGUUGGUAGGGUAAAAGCCUACCAAGGCGACGAUCUAUAGCUGGUUUUACGAGAAUGAUCAGCCACACUGGAACUGAGACACGGUCCAGACUCCUACGGGAGGCAGCAGUGAAGAAUAUUGGACAAUGGGGGAAACCCUGAUCCAGCAAUGUUGCGUGUGUGAAGAAGGUCCGAGGACUGUAAAGCACUUUCAGUAAGCAAGAAAAAUGUAAAUCUAAUAGAUUUGCAUGUUGACCACUUAUAGAAGAAGCACCGGCUAACUCCGUGCCAGCAGCCGCGGUAAUACGGAGGGUGCGAGCGUUAAUCGGAAUUACUGGGCGUAAAGGGUAAGUAGGCGGUUUAUAAAGUCACAUGUGAAAGCCCUAGGCUUAACCUAGG